GGGUGAUUAGCUCAGCUGGGAGAGCACCUCCCUUACAAGGAGGGGGUCGGCGGUUCGAUCCCUGCACGACCCACCA
Molecule: transfer RNA, 76 nt
Filed under: Escherichia coli
Lineage: Bacteria; Pseudomonadati; Pseudomonadota; Gammaproteobacteria; Enterobacterales; Enterobacteriaceae
Also listed under: 1 other name
Description: tRNA-Val
Rfam family: tRNA
About the family: Transfer RNA (tRNA) molecules are approximately 80 nucleotides in length. Their secondary structure includes four short double-helical elements and three loops (D, anti-codon, and T loops).
Source: RNAcentral